Molecule: small nuclear RNA, 337 nt
Filed under: Jaculus jaculus (lesser Egyptian jerboa)
Lineage: Eukaryota; Metazoa; Chordata; Mammalia; Rodentia; Dipodidae
Description: 7SK RNA (ENSJJAG00000009229.1)
Rfam family: 7SK RNA
About the family: 7SK was discovered as an abundant small nuclear RNA in the mid-70s but a possible function has only recently been suggested. Two independent studies have found that 7SK RNA binds the CDK9/cyclin T complex (known as elongation factor P-TEFb).
Source: Rfam by way of RNAcentral
GGAUGUGAGGGCAAUCCAGCUGUGAAUCUAACACCCCAUGAAUCGCCAGGGUUGACUGGGCUGGUCUGGCUGGCUAGGCAGGUGUUCCCUUCUUCCCUCACCACUCCAUGUGGGUUCUCCCCACUCCGCCCCCCGGAAGCUGCUCGCACGGUGGAAGAGGAUGACCUUUCCUGAAUAGCAGUCUUCAGUACCAGUCUUCAGUCAAGGGUAUAUGAGCAGCUGAGCUCGCCUGCUAGAAACUCCAAAACCAAGACGCUGCAGGUUCUUGCUGGGCAUGGUGGUGCACUCCUUUAAACCCAGCACUUUGGGAGGCAGAGGUAAGAGGAUCCCUGUGAGU